CGAUGAAGGCACUGAAGUUACUUGUGACAACUUCCAGAACAAGAUGGUCCAGGGUUUUCGGAUUUGUUCCUUAAGCAAUUAAUAAUGGAUCGAAAAUAGUUUUCUUCGCCAAUUUGGAGUUCCCACUCGCCAACUCCACAUUUUGGUAAUUUAGACACGCCAUUGGAGCGAGCUGAAUGAUAUGAUUAUUCUAGUCUUUUUAUAUCAGGAUCUGCUUUCUGGGCACACAAAUUUAACCAUUUAGCCACCUCAUUAAAGCCAACAGUAAAAUUUAUAUACCGUCCUACACUCGUAGGAUGUUUUUGAUUUUCUGCAUGUAUUACUGUGAGUACUGUGACUGUUUUCCCAUAUUAACUUUAUGGGCAAUCUAUGGGAAAAAGAGAGUCUAUUUAAGAAUUUAUAAUAAAUACAUAUACCUACUAUAGUCUGUCUCAUCUUGUCUUUCCAGUACAGGAAACAUGGGGAAAUGAAUGCAAUCCUUAUAGGAGUUGCGAUGCCGAUUUUAUAGAUUACAAAUACGUCCAUUCUCUUCAAAUCAUAUUCUGAUAACAUGUGGCAUCAUUGUUGGGCAUAAGACCCUGUUCCACGAUCUAUCGUGUCCUGUACUAUAAAGGCAAGGUGAUAACGGGCGAUCAAAAAUGAGUUGCUGUCGAGUGGCCUUUGGAAGUUCACGUUAAAUACGAUUUCCCAUGUAAACAAAAAUUCCAAAGGUGACUCGACAGCACCUCAUAUUUGAUCGCAUUGUACCUCAGUUUCGUCCGCCGUUCAGGAUCACGAAGACCGGUUACGGAGACAUAGUGUGCGGGUUUAUUGCAGCGGUCAAAUAUCGGAUGUUGUACUGGCAAAUAAAAUAAACCAUCCACUUAAUUACCCGUCGAAUGUUCUGGUGCCCUGUUUACAAAUGUCAAUUACGAUUAACCUGGAUUUUCCUGAUAAGACUUAAACAACCCCACAUAAACAAGCCACUUGAUCUCUCACGGAGAACGAUGACAAUUGUGUUUGAGUCAGGUCGACUGACCUAAGCACAAACGCAAGAGAUCAAUGCAGCCCUAUUUGACAUGAAGUAUACAGGUUUAUUUAACUUUAACCUAUGAGAUUUUACGUUACGGAUAGUACAGGUCUAUCGAAAAUAAUAGUAAACGAAUUAAACCUCAACGGUUAAACGGAAAGCUAACUGGUGAAUAGAAAAUGAUUCUGGCUGUUUAUGGUCUAGAAUACACAGGAAUAAUUUCCUGGUUGGGGGACAAGGGGGAGCACAUAUGCACAAGGUACAAGGAGAGAUUUCACUUUCAAUGAAUAGGACGGCAUCAGGCGACAUCUAACAUGGGGAUUUUAGAACACGUAUUACAGAGGUUUACAAAUAAAAUAUCUACUUUACAGAUUUUCUUCACAAACCGUACUGCAGACGGCAUUGCGUGUCGUAAGAAGCGACUAAACAGCAGCCCAACCUAGCGUCGACUUGUCUCCCCUCCCUUAAUAUCUUAGUAAUUUUUCUUUUUAUACCAGUUGCGGCAAAGACCCCGGUCUAGUUGGCACUACUAGCCAAGUUUCUUUCGAACCAAUUGAAAUGUUUUGUUUUCUCCUCCACCUUAGAAAUAAGAUUUCGUAAAUAAA
This is a long non-coding RNA of Photinus pyralis (common eastern firefly), 1614 nucleotides long. RefSeq lists it as uncharacterized. Lineage: Eukaryota; Metazoa; Arthropoda; Insecta; Coleoptera; Lampyridae. The transcript is spliced from 4 exons. The record is from RefSeq and is a predicted model, not a curated record.